UACGUAGGGUCCGAGCGUUGUCCGGAAUUAUUGGGCGUAAAGGGCUCGUAGGCGGUUCGUCACGUCGGGAGUGAAAACUCGGGGCUUAACCCCGAGCCUGCUUCCGAUACGGGCAGACUAGAGGUAGGCAGGGGGGAGCGGAACUCCUGGUGUAGCGGUGGAAUGCGCAGAUAUCAGGAAGAACACCGGUGGCGAAGGCGGCUCUCUGGGCCUUACCUGACGCUGAGGAGCGAAAGCGUGGGUAGCGAACAGG
RNAcentral lists this ribosomal RNA (253 nucleotides) under uncultured bacterium. RNAcentral describes it as "partial 16S ribosomal RNA". It matches the Rfam family "Bacterial small subunit ribosomal RNA", at positions 524 to 776 of the family's 1533-position model. The record is from RNAcentral.